This 439-nucleotide ribosomal RNA is filed under the name uncultured bacterium. RNAcentral describes it as "bacterial SSU rRNA". It matches the Rfam family "Bacterial small subunit ribosomal RNA", at positions 959 to 1397 of the family's 1533-position model. The record is from RNAcentral.
ACGCGUGGAACCUUACCAGGUCUUGACAUCCUCUGACACUCCUAGAGAUAGGACGUUCCCCUUCGGGGGACAGAGUGACAGGUGGUGCAUGGUUGUCGUCAGCUCGUGUCGUGAGAUGUUGGGUUAAGUCCCGCAACGAGCGCAACCCUUGAUCUUAGUUGCCAGCAUUAAGUUGGGCACUCUAAGGAGACUGCCGGUGACAAACCGGAGGAAGGUGGGGAUGACGUCAAAUCAUCAUGCCCCUUAUGACCUGGGCUACACACGUGCUACAAUGGACGGUACAAACGGUUGCCAACCCGCGAGGGGGAGCUAAUCCGAUAAAACCGUUCUCAGUUCGGAUUGUAGGCUGCAACUCGCCUACAUGAAGCUGGAAUCGCUAGUAAUCGCGGAUCAGCAUGCCGCGGUGAAUACGUUCCCGGGCCUUGCACACACCGCCCGU